Long non-coding RNA from Hippocampus zosterae (dwarf seahorse), 721 nucleotides. RefSeq lists it as uncharacterized. The record is from RefSeq and is a predicted model, not a curated record. Lineage: Eukaryota; Metazoa; Chordata; Actinopteri; Syngnathiformes; Syngnathidae. The transcript is spliced from 3 exons.
GUUGCUCUCCAAAGCUGCGAAUGUAAGUCUGAGUGUUUCUCUCUUGAUGCCAUUGGCAAACAACCGUUUCAGGGUUAAAAAGUGUUUUUUUCUGGAAUCUUGGUGCCAAACAACUAUCUUGAUGUGAGUUGAGGAGCUUCAUUUUGACAAAAAGUAUGCUUUGACACCAUCUUAUGGCAUCUUGCUACCCGGGAACUAUGUCGCAGUGAAUUGAGCCGCUUCAUUCAGACAAACAUUAUGCUUUGAUGGCAUGGUGGUGUCUAAAAAAACUAUACGAUGUGAGUUGAGGAGCUUCAUUUUGACAAAAAUAGUGCUUUGUCACCAUCUUGUGGCAUCUUGGUGCCCAGGAACUAUGUCGCAGUGAGUUGAGGAGCUUCAUUUAGACAAAAGUAGUGCUUUGUCACCAUCUUGUGGCAUCUUGGUACCCUGGAACUAAGUCGUGAAGUAAGUUAAGGGGCUAAAUUUAGACAAAUAAAGUGCUUUGCCUCCACCUUUUGGCAUUCAUAGGCAAUCAUAAGCAGAUUUUUGUUAUUCUGUCCGAUUCCCCGUGAAUAACGGGAGUUAACUGGGAAAAAAAAAUAAAAAUACACGAAUGGAGUGCCAACAAAGGGAGCGAUCACAGUUUGAAUACUUCAGGAAGUGCCUCUCAAAAUGUCUCCAGGUUUCUCCAAAAGUGAUCCAUGAUUCAUGCGGCUUGCUAACCGGUGAUGUUUCCUGUUUA